RNAcentral lists this ribosomal RNA (465 nucleotides) under Vreelandella stevensii. RNAcentral describes it as "partial 16S ribosomal RNA". It matches the Rfam family "Bacterial small subunit ribosomal RNA", at positions 338 to 795 of the family's 1533-position model. Lineage: Bacteria; Pseudomonadati; Pseudomonadota; Gammaproteobacteria; Oceanospirillales; Halomonadaceae. The record is from RNAcentral.
CCUACGGGUGGCUGCAGUGGGGAAUAUUGGACAAUGGGGGGAACCCUGAUCCAGCCAUGCCGCGUGUGUGAAGAAGGCCCUCGGGUUGUAAAGCACUUUCAGUGAGGAAGAACGCCUGGUGGUUAAUACCCAUCAGGAAAGACAUCACUCACAGAAGAAGCACCGGCUAACUCCGUGCCAGCAGCCGCGGUAAUACGGAGGGUGCGAGCGUUAAUCGGAAUUACUGGGCGUAAAGCGCGCGUAGGUGGCUUGAUAAGCCGGUUGUGAGAGCCCCGGGCUCAACCUGGGAACGGCAUCCGGAACUGUCAAGCUAGAGUGCAGGAGAGGAAGGUAGAAUUCCCGGUGUAGCGGUGAAAUGCGUAGAGAUCGGGAGGAAUACCAGUGGCGAAGGCGGCCUUCUGGACUGACACUGACACUGAGGUGCGAAAGCGUGGGUAGCAAACAGGAUUAGAUACCCGGGUAGUC